GUGGGGAAUAUUGGGCAAUGGGCGGAAGCCUGACCCAGCGACGCCGCGUGGGGGAAGAAGUCUUUCGGGAUGUAAACCCUUGUUGUACGGGACGAAGGAAGUGACGGUACCGUACGAGGAAGCCCCGGCAAACUACGUGCCAGCAGCCGCGGUAAUACGUAGGGGGCGAGCGUUGUCCGGAAUCACUGGGCGUAAAGCGCACGUAGGCGGGCUGUCAAGUCGGCCGUGAAAGGCACGGGCUCAAACGGUGCAUGUCGGUCGAUACUGGCGGUCUGGAGUAUGGGAGAGGGAACUGGAAUUCCCGGUGUAGCGGUGAGAUGCGUAGAUAUCGGGAGGAACACCAGUGGCGAAGGCGGGUUCCUGGCCCAUGACUGACGCUGAGGUGCGAAAGCCGGGGGAGCGAACGGGAUUAGAUACCCGAGUAUCC
This 427-nucleotide ribosomal RNA is filed under the name uncultured bacterium. RNAcentral describes it as "partial 16S ribosomal RNA". It matches the Rfam family "Bacterial small subunit ribosomal RNA", at positions 354 to 795 of the family's 1533-position model. The record is from RNAcentral.